Molecule: non-coding RNA, 78 nt
Organism: Gigaspora rosea
Lineage: Eukaryota; Fungi; Glomeromycota; Glomeromycetes; Diversisporales; Gigasporaceae
Source: the annotation of a GenBank genome assembly
UGGGCUGUAUCUCAAUUGGUAGAGCAGCGCAUUUGCGUUUGCAAUGCGUGUGUUGGGGAUCGAGUCCCCUCAGCCUCA